This is a long non-coding RNA of Epinephelus fuscoguttatus (brown-marbled grouper), 998 nucleotides long. RefSeq lists it as uncharacterized. The record is from RefSeq and is a predicted model, not a curated record. The transcript has 3 exons. NCBI's taxonomy places the organism in Eukaryota, Metazoa, Chordata, Actinopteri, Perciformes, Serranidae.
UUUUCUUCACGGAUGAACACAUGUUUGAUAAAACGGAGUUAAAUCUCUCAGCAUCCAUUUUCAAGCUCUCUGUGUGUUUGUUUCCUUGCGGACGAGAAAAGGGGGAGCGCACGUUUCCGAGAAGGCGUGUCUUUUUCAAAAAUCCAAGAGGCGUUGCUUUGUUGCCGGCCGUUUUCGCCGGUGUGUUAAACACACUUUAGAAAGGAGUGUCCCCAAACUAUCAGAAGGCGGAGAUCUCCGAUUGUCUGGUGGCGAGACUAGUUUUCCAGUAACAACAUGGCUAACUUAAGCUGCUAGCUUAAAAGAGAAAACGGUGCUUUGUGUCCUGUGUGUUUUAUUCGGAGGAGAAGUCAUGGCAUUUGAUCAAGAAGAGACUUUCAGGAUCUUAAACAACUUUCUGAGAGGAUUAUCAGACAUGAGGGCAGCAUGACAAAGUGGCAGAAUGGUGCUAAAACAUAGCUAGCUGAGGUGACAGCUCACACAAACGGAGUGAGGGAGUAACAGCACCUUUUAAGGAGACCAGGCAAACAAAAGAAGACAAAAAAACUCUGCACUGACCGAGCUGUCCCCACCUGUCCCAGCCUGAUCCACUCUGGCACCUUUCUAUCUUCUGUCCUUGGGGCCCAACCACAGACCAGUCUCAUCCACACUGACAGACUGUGAAGAGCGACUUGUCUCCAUCAGCUGGGAACCUCCGCCGGUGUCUUUGUGUGUGCGUCUGUCAGCGGAGGAGGAGGGUUUCAGGCAUCAUCUCUCAGGCAUCCUCUUACUGGGCUCACUGGACUAAAGCCUGGGAAACAGACCAACGAUGACCAUUCUCAUCAAGCAAAUGGAUCCAGGUACUCUGAAACUGAAAUCAGAGCCCUGCUUCACAGCGUGGUGUCCAGUACUUUUAGACAAAAGCUCAGAGAGAAAAAGUCUGUCCGAAAAUGUUUCCACUAUGCACAGUUUUACAUUUAUUCUUCACUGAUGAGAGAAAAACCCUGAAAUGAGGUGAA